AAGAUUACAUGGCUUAUUGAGAUAAGAUUCACAAAUCUAGAUUUGUUAACAACAGUUGAAAAUGAAAAAACGGGGAAUUAUGAAUUAAUGGAAAAUGAACUGAGCAUGAUGUAUAAAUAAAGAUAAUUCCUUAUGUGAUGAUUUGGGAUAGUAUUGCAACAACUUGCCACAAAAAUCAUAUCAGAGCUAUCGAUUUUCCCUUAAACAUAGAAGUGUACAUCCAGAUUUCUAUCCUCAAGAAGAUGGAAAGCAUCUCCUUUGAAAAGAGAAGUGGAUUUGGUGAGGAACAUAUGGAAGAUGAAAACAUACUGAAAUGGUUAGAGAUGAUUGGAGUUAAAAGUGUUGAGUACUAAGAGGCUAUUAGAAAAGUGAAUUAAUAGUAACCUAACCCUGAAAUUGAAUUACUAAUUUUUAAUUAAUAAUUUAAUUUAAUUCAAUGAAAAAUGGGAAAUUUCAUGAUAUUUAUCAAAUUUAUAAACUGCAUUUUGGAAAUUAGGC
This 498-nucleotide long non-coding RNA is filed under the name Androctonus crassicauda. Lineage: Eukaryota; Metazoa; Arthropoda; Arachnida; Scorpiones; Buthidae. The record is from RNAcentral.